GACGAACGCUGGCGGCGUGCCUAAUACAUGCAAGUCGAACGAACCGCUACGAGGUGCUGGCACUCGGUUAAGGUGAGUGUCGAACGGUUGAUUUACACGCGGGUAACCUACCUCAUACUUGGGGAUAACAGUCGUAAACUACUGCGACUACCGCAUAGGACAUAGGAUCUCAGCAUGCAUAGAGUAAACUAGUCGCAAGCGUUCGCGAAGAAAUGGACCCGCGGUGUAUUAGCUAGUUGGUAGGUUAAAGGCCUACCAAGGCGAUGAUGCAUAGCCGACCUCAGAGGGUGAACGGCAAGCUUGGGACAGAGAAACGGCAGACACUCCUACGGGAGGACGCAGUACGGAAUCUUACGCAAGGGACGAAAGUCUGACGGAGCACAGCCGCGUGAGUGAAGAAGGUCUUAGGAUGCUAAAGCUAUGUUGUUCGUAAAGAACAGCACCUAGAUCACCUGUUAUGCGUGUGACGGUAUCUAGACAAAAAGCCACGGCUAACUCCGUG
This 502-nucleotide ribosomal RNA is filed under the name uncultured bacterium. RNAcentral describes it as "partial 16S ribosomal RNA". It matches the Rfam family "Bacterial small subunit ribosomal RNA", at positions 28 to 507 of the family's 1533-position model. The record is from RNAcentral.